CAUAUCAAUAAGCGGAGGAAAAGAAACCAACAGGGAUUGCCUCAGUAACGGCGAGUGAAGCGGCAAGAGCUCAAAUUUGAAAUCUGGCGCCCCGCCGGCGUCCGAGUUGUAAUUUGGAGAGGCAUCUUCAGGAGGGGGCCCGGCCUAUGUUCCUUGGAACAGGGCGUCGCAGAGGGUGAGAAUCCCGUUCUUGGCCGGACAGCCCCUCCGGUGUGCAGUGUCUUCUACGAGUCGAGUUGUUUGGGAAUGCAGCUCAAAAUGGGUGGUAAAUUUCAUCUAAAGCUAAAUAUGGGCGAGAGACCGAUAGCGCACAAGUAGAGUGAUCGAAAGAUGAAAAGCACUUUGAAAAUAGAGUCAAACAGCACGUGAAAUUGUUGAAAGGGAAGCGCUUGAGACCAGACUCGGCCAUGGACUAACAGCUGUCCCUUCUGGGCGGUGCACUUGUCCUUGGCCGGGCCAGCAUCGGUAGGGACGGCGGGACAAAGGCUGGGGGAAUGUGACUCCCUUUAAGAGUGUUAUAGCCCCCGGCGCCAUGCCGCCCGCCCCGACCGAGGACCGCGCUUCGGCUAGG
Molecule: ribosomal RNA, 571 nt
Filed under: Tuber aestivum (summer truffle)
Lineage: Eukaryota; Fungi; Ascomycota; Pezizomycetes; Pezizales; Tuberaceae
Description: eukaryotic LSU rRNA
Rfam family: Eukaryotic large subunit ribosomal RNA
Source: RNAcentral